Molecule: ribosomal RNA, 460 nt
Filed under: uncultured bacterium
Lineage: Bacteria
Description: partial 16S ribosomal RNA
Rfam family: Bacterial small subunit ribosomal RNA
Source: RNAcentral
CCUACGGGUGGCAGCAGUGAGGAAUAUUGGUCAAUGGGCGGGAGCCUGAACCAGCCAAGUCGCGUGAGGGAAGACGGUCCUACGGAUUGUAAACCUCUUUUGCCGGGGAGCAACGGGGUCCUUGCGAGGGCCCGAUGAGAGUACCCGGAGAAAAAGCAUCGGCUAACUCCGUGCCAGCAGCCGCGGUAAUACGGAGGAUGCGAGCGUUAUCCGGAUUUAUUGGGUUUAAAGGGUGCGUAGGCGGGCUGUUAAGUCAGCGGUAAAAUUGAGGGGCUCAACCCCUUCCCGCCAUUGAAACUGGCGUUCUUGAGUGGAAGAGAAGUAUGCGGAAUGCGUGGUGUAGCGGUGAAAUGCAUAGAUAUCACGCAGAACCCCGAUUGCGAAGGCAGCAUGCCGGCUUCCGACUGACGCUGAAGCACGAAAGCGUGGGGAUCGAACAGGAUUAGAUACCCUUGUAGUC